GGGGCCGUAGUGUAGUUUGGACAUUCCAAACCUGCGGUUUGCAGGGUUGCUUUGGGACAACUAUCACCGGCGCUUGGGGUGCGUCUGACCGGAGUUCGAAUCUUCGCGGCCCCA
RNAcentral lists this transfer RNA (114 nucleotides) under Candidatus Woesearchaeota archaeon. RNAcentral describes it as "tRNA-Pro". Lineage: Archaea; Nanobdellati; Candidatus Woesearchaeota. The record is from RNAcentral.